GAUGAACGCUGGCGGCGUGCUUAACGCAUGCAAGUCGAACGAAGCAUUUGCGACAGAUUUUUUCGGAAUGAAGUUGCUUAUGACUGAGUGGCGGACGGGUGAGUAACGCGUGGGUAACCUGCCUUGUACUGGGGGAUAGCAGCUGGAAACGGCUGGUAAUACCGCAUAAGCGCACAAUGUUGCAUGACAUGGUGUGAAAAACUCCGGUGGUAUAAGAUGGACCCGCGUCUGAUUAGCUAGUUGGUGAGAUAACAGCCCACCAAGGCGACGAUCAGUAGCCGACCUGAGAGGGUGACCGGCCACAUUGGGACUGAGACACGGCCCAGACUCCUACGGGAGGCAGCAGUGGGGAAUAUUGCACAAUGGAGGAAACUCUGAUGCAGCGACGCCGCGUGAGUGAAGAAGUAAUUCGUUAUGUAAAGCUCUAUCAGCAGGGAAGAUAGUGACGGUACCUGACGAAGAAGCUCCGGCUAAAUACGUG
RNAcentral lists this ribosomal RNA (481 nucleotides) under uncultured bacterium. RNAcentral describes it as "partial 16S ribosomal RNA". It matches the Rfam family "Bacterial small subunit ribosomal RNA", at positions 28 to 507 of the family's 1533-position model. The record is from RNAcentral.